This 2480-nucleotide unclassified non-coding RNA is filed under the name Pomacea canaliculata. RNAcentral describes it as "uncharacterized LOC112571439, transcript variant X1". Lineage: Eukaryota; Metazoa; Mollusca; Gastropoda; Architaenioglossa; Ampullariidae. The record is from RNAcentral.
GGACUGACGUAAGAGUAGCUGAAGGACCAGCCGGCGCGCGAGGAGCAGGAAAAUGGACUGAAACAUCAAGUCUUAUUCCUGGGAUGGCACACCUCGACCAGCGCCCACAGUCUACGCCUCGCCAGCUCUUUCCGUUGAAUCCCUGCAGUACACACCUGUCUUUUGAGGCACCACGUGGGCCAGCAAAAGGUACAGGUGUGUCAAGCUCGCUGAGGCUCCCCACACCUCCACUUCUUCGCAAAAAAAAAGAUGUCUGCUUUACCUCGUUGCAACAGAAAGGCGAUUUUUCAGCAAUAACACCUACCAGAAUGGCCGCCUUGGACUCGCUUCGAGUCUGUGGCCUCCAACAUAAACAACAGAUUUACUUGAAAGAGCUCAGCUGUAUCCCAAUCAGCCCAAAAGCCACAUUCAUGUCCCGGGAACCGGAGCCUGAUAGUAACCUUAGUCGACAUGAGCUGGACUCUGCAAUACAGCCUCGCCAGAGGGAAGACGUGGAGAGCGGCGGUCUUCAACUCACUACCAAUAGCUCGUCAAUGACUUUUUCAUGUAGUUUGGCAUCUGACUCGAGAGACAACAACGCCACCUUCUCUUGUAGCGAAGAGACCUCACCGACGAAAGGAAAGUCAUUAAAGAAAGACAGUUUAUCACCUGGUCGUCUAGUUCGCGAUAAAAUAUUCAUUACCACAGGUGACGACUGCUGGGGACCCCAAGGUAACACCGAGGAAGUUUUAAAACAGCAAGGCGGGCAAAAGCAUAGGGGUCCAAUAAACAAGCACCAUCAUGGCAUCCACGUUCAAAAAGACUCCUCAGGUCUGGUUUCGGGCCCAAAGACAAAUGAGCACCUGCUUUUCUUCCCCGAGGCAUCGGUGAAGUUAAACGAGGCCUCGUUAAAUGGUAACAACCGUCCUUUGCCGAGUCGCCUGCAUUGCAAGCCGCCUCGGUACUCUUCAGUCGACCACCGACAUUCGGACAUCACUUACCGGUUCUCGUCUCCAGGACGCCUGUGACCUCCAUUCCGACAUCAGCGGGAACUUGAACCAAGAACACUCGGACAAGGAAGCCGAUGAAAGCUGCAGGACUGGCCGUAGCCAUGGCAACUUAUGUGUGCUACCCGUCUCUUUCAGGCGCCCAGCUCAAGAAAAUGUCAUGUCAGUGACAGGUUACACCAUUGGAAACCUCAUAUCAAUGAUGGAACCAUACAGAGUUGCCCGUCCUCGUAUGAACGCGACCAAACAAGUUUCUCCUAGGUCAACAGAAAGGAAAGAUCUUGAUAUCAAGCCUGAUGGAGGAGAUGACCAUGAUCAUGGCAAUGCUAACAGUAGCGAGGAGAAGGAACAAGAGGACAAGUAUGAUUAUGAUGAUGAUGAUGAGAGUAAUGAAGACGAUUAUGAUGAUUUCGACGAGAUAUUUAACAUGCAAACAAACCUCGCUGAACUUAUUAAAAGGAAUCGGAGACUGCGUCUGUCUCCUGCAGGCUUUCCGUAUGUAAAUUAUUCCGGCAAUGUAGGUGAUGGCCAACAUCCCCGACCACUCAAAAGAAAAACUAACUUAAGAAGAGGGCCACUCACAAAAAGUCCAUCAAAACGAAGAGGUGCGACUUCCGCUCCAAGAGCAGAUACAGAGGAGUGUGAGCAAAGGAAUUCAAUGGACAAGUGGGCCGGAAACGAAGGUAGACCGAUGUCAGAACAAAUGAUGAAAGAAUACUUCCGGCAGUUGAAACAGACUAUCUGUAGCAACUUAGUGGAAGAGAAAUUCAUCGAUGAACUGGUGAUAAGGAAUGUCAAAUCCUGUUCCUUUUACGACCAGUUCUCAAAUGUCAAACUGGCAACGAAUCGUCAAGGCUCUGAUGGUCAGUCUUCAGAUAUGCCUCCCAUUCACCAUCACUGCUCGGCUGCUGACGGAGAGGCAAAAAGUCUUAAAACAAAUAACCUAGAAGAUACAGGAGGUUCGUGUGGUGCUUUCCAAGCUGCUGACGAACCCAAAGCCACCAACCCUGAUACUAAGUGAAGACGGCAGAGGAGACGGUCAAACAUAGCCAUUAUAACUGCAUGGGUCAGCUAACGGACAUUCCAUCCACUAAUAUGAAACCAUACCAGGCUCUCCUUGAGCCUGACCAGCUGCCAUCUUACAACUUUGGGCUGCUUUUCAAGGCACAAGCCUGUUUGCAUUAGGGAUGUAUUCCCUGUUACUUGCUCAAAAUUUGUCUGCACUGGGACAACAGAAAACGGCUGUCUGUUACAUGCCAUUGUAUCAAGUCCACAGGUAUACAAAGGAUGAAAACUCUACCCCAGAAUAUCAGUCUAGCAGACCCGAUCUGGGGUAAUGACUUUAGACUGCACACAGCUAAUCUGAGGUCACUUGCAGUUUUGCAAUAACAUUUUUGGCAAAAGCUGUUGCAGGUGAUUUGACAGCAUAUGCAUACCAUGAUCAUGAGCAAAGACAUAGCAGCCUGCAUUUUUCAGCUGAAGGGCAAGUGGUGA